CCUACGGGGGGCAGCAGUGAGGAAUAUUGGUCAAUGGGCGGGAGCCUGAACCAGCCAAGCCGCGUGAGGGAAGAAGGUACAGCGUAUCGUAAACCUCUUUUGUCAGGGAACAAAGGCGGGGACUAGUCCCCUGAUGAGGGUACCUGAAGAACAAGCAUCGGCUAACUCCGUGCCAGCAGCCGCGGUAAUACGGAGGAUGCGAGCGUUAUCCGGAUUUAUUGGGUUUAAAGGGUGCGCAGGCGGCCUGUUAAGUCAGCGGUGAAAGCCCGGGGCUCAACCCCGGCGAGCCGUUGAAACUGGCGGGCUGGAGUGGGAGAGAAGUACGCGGAAUGCGCGGUGUAGCGGGGAAAUGCUUAGAGAUCGCGCAGAAUCCCGAUUGCGAGGGCAGCGUACCGGAUCCAGACUGACGCUGAGGUACGAAAGCGUGGGUAUCGAACAGGAUUAGAUACCCCAGUAGUC
This 459-nucleotide ribosomal RNA is filed under the name uncultured bacterium. Its description in RNAcentral is "partial 16S ribosomal RNA". It matches the Rfam family "Bacterial small subunit ribosomal RNA", at positions 338 to 795 of the family's 1533-position model. The record is from RNAcentral.